RNAcentral lists this long non-coding RNA (246 nucleotides) under Lathyrus oleraceus (garden pea). RNAcentral describes it as "Pisum sativum (pea) long non-coding RNA (PSAT_LNC022930)". The record is from RNAcentral. Lineage: Eukaryota; Viridiplantae; Streptophyta; Magnoliopsida; Fabales; Fabaceae.
AAAAUCCCAUGAAUUUUGGAUAAGAAAUGAGUGUGCUAUGAUUUUUGUAAGAUGGCCAUGGCAAAUGAAAUAAAAUGCAAAAUGAAAUGAAUUAAUUAAAAUUAAAACACGGAAAUGGCAAUUGUGUAAUUAUCUCGUCCCUUAAGUGAAACGCAGCGUUUCACUUAAGGGAAUGCUGCAAUAUGAUUGGUCAUGGCCCAAUAGAACAGUGACUCCAUGCAGAAAACACAAAAACACGAUCCAAAC